This 253-nucleotide ribosomal RNA is filed under the name uncultured bacterium. Its description in RNAcentral is "partial 16S ribosomal RNA". It matches the Rfam family "Bacterial small subunit ribosomal RNA", at positions 524 to 776 of the family's 1533-position model. The record is from RNAcentral.
UACGAAGGGUGCUAGCGUUGUUCGGAAUCACUGGGCGUAAAGCGUGCGUAGGCGGUUCGUUAAGUCCGUUGUGAAAGCCCUGGGCUCAACCUGGGAAUGGCAGUGGAUACUGGCGAGCUAGAGUGUGAUAGAGGAUGGUGGAAUUCCCGGUGUAGCGGUGAAAUGCGUAGAGAUCGGGAGGAACACCAGUGGCGAAGGCGGCCAUCUGGAUCAACACUGACGCUGAGGCACGAAAGCGUGGGGAGCAAACAGG